AGACACUGACAGGGCUGAGUGUUCUAUCAUGGUAACGUUUGUGUGUCUGUGACUUCAUGGUUCUUUUAAAGCAGUGUUGAAAUCUGUGAAUGAAAUGGUUAAACCUGGUGUGGAUGUAUUUGUGGUGACACACACACACACACACACACACUGACUGUUGCCACAACGUGUGUGUGUUGUUUUCGUCUGGCUUCCUCUCCAUUGUCUGCCUUCACUGCUACUAUCACUUCUGCAGAGACCAGAGUUCUGGUUGGUCUGAUGCUGAGCCACUCACUUUAACUGCAGAUUUAAGAUUUUUUAAAAUAUAUAUAUUUUUUAGGAUUUUGUACAAGCUUUUCUUCUCCCUGGUCGACUUUGUCUGCUGCUGCUGUCAGGCCUCAGCUGAUUCAUUGACUUCAAUGGUUAAUUAAAGCCCCGUCGACUGGAGGGGGCAGCGACGAGCGACGGGAAACCGACCCUAGAAUGGUUCUGAUGGUUCUACCCCUUCUUCCUGUUCAAAUCGAAAAGUCCGCCCUGACCUGUGGAACAGUCUGGUAGGAAAACGUCCUGACUCUCUGACCUUAUCGUCACUGGACCAGUCCUGGGCCUUUGAUGUGGCUGCUGUGUUUGUUCACCAGCGCCAGUGGUCUGCUCUGUCCAUUCAACAAGCUGCCACUUACUAAAUCCCUCAGUGUGGACGGCAGCAGCAGCAGCAGCAGCAGCAGCAGCAGCAUUGUUGGUGUUUUACACCCGCAGACGUCUCAUCGGAGUCGGCGUGUGGACGGAGAAAUGUUCAGACGAGCUACAGGUGACGCCGCUAACACAACGUCCCAGCAGCUGCUGCCGUUGGGAGGGCUCUUCAAACCAUUGUUUAUGGAUUUGCAAUGGAGGUCCCGGGAGCUAACGCUGUGUGGAGGGCCUUGACUGUUUUGGCUGCAGCGCCCCCUGUGACUCUGGAAGGAUUAAGAGUAAAGUCUCAUCAGGAGCAGCUUCAUGUCGGAGAACAAAUGGUCUGACGUCUCUAUGUAGCACCUUCACUCCCACCAUAUGGUUCCCGAGGGCAGUUGACAGUUGUUCUGCCACUCAAACUGUAAAGAAUGAGGAUCAGACAUGUGAGCGACCACACACACCCACCUCAUACAGCAGAAGUCUUCAACAGGCGGUCCGCGACUCCUAGAGGGAUCACGGAGAUACUGCAGGAGGUCCUGGAAUUUAUUUGAGAGCAACGUGUUAAUAGAAAUCAACAGGCGUUGAAAACCUGCCGUUUCCUGCUGCAGAGA
Molecule: long non-coding RNA, 1259 nt
Organism: Cynoglossus semilaevis (tongue sole)
Lineage: Eukaryota; Metazoa; Chordata; Actinopteri; Pleuronectiformes; Cynoglossidae
Exons: 8
Source: RefSeq, a predicted model, not a curated record